Molecule: ribosomal RNA, 484 nt
Filed under: uncultured bacterium
Lineage: Bacteria
Description: partial 16S ribosomal RNA
Rfam family: Bacterial small subunit ribosomal RNA
Source: RNAcentral
GACGAACGCUGGCGGCGUGCUUAACACAUGCAAGUCGAACGAUGAAGCCGGAGCUUGCUCUGGUGAAUUAGUGGCGAACGGGUGAGUAACACGUGAGUAACCUGCCCUUGACUCUGGGAUAACUGCGGGAAACUGUAGCUAAUACCGGAUACGACCCUCGGAGGCAUCUCCUGGGGGUGGAAAGAAUUUCGGUCAAGGAUGGACUCGCGGCCUAUCAGCUAGUUGGUGAGGUAAAGGCUCACCAAGGCGACGACGGAUAGCCGGCCUGAGAGGGUGACCGGCCACACUGGGCCUGGGACACGGCCCAGACUCCUACGGGAGGCAGCAGUGGGGAAUAUUGCACAAUGGGCGCAAGCCUGAUGCAGCAACGCCGCGUGAGGGAUGACGGCCUUCGGGUUGUAAACCUCUUUUAGCAGGGAAGAAGCGAAAGUGACGGUACCUGCAGAAAAAGCACCGGCUAACUACGUGCCAGCCGCCGCCGUAA